UUGUAAUCUGGAGAAGCGUUUUCCGCGCUGGACCGUGCACAAGUCUCCUGGAACGGAGCGUCAUAGAGGGUGAGAAUCCCGUCCAUGGCACGGACGCCCAGUGGUUUGUGAUACGCUCUCGAAGAGUCGAGUUGUUUGGGAAUGCAGCUCAAAAUGGGUGGUAAAUUCCAUCUAAAGCUAAAUAUUGGCGAGAGACCGAUAGCGAACAAGUACCGUGAGGGAAAGAUGAAAAGCACUUUGGAAAGAGAGUUAAACAGUACGUGAAAUUGUUGAAAGGGAAACGCUUGAAGUCAGUCGCGUCCGGCAGAACUCAGCCUUGCCUCGGCCUGGUGUACUUUCUGUCGGACGGGUCAACAUCAGUUUGGACCGGUGGAAAAAGGCAAGGGGAAUGUAGCGCCGCUUCGGCGGCGUGUUAUAGCCCCUCGUCGUAUACAUCGGUACGGACUGAGGACCGCAGCACGCCCUUGUGGCCGGGGGUUCGCCCCACGUACCGUGCUUAGGAUGUUGGCAUAAUGGCUUUAAGCGACCCGUCUUGAAACACGGACCAAGGAGUCCAACAUGCUUGCGAGUGUUCGGGUGGAAAACCCUUGCGCGUAAUGAAAGUGACAGUUGGGAGCCUCUGCAAGGGGGUGCACCGACGCCCGGCCCUGACGUUCUCUGACGGUGCUGCGGUAGAGCAAGUAUGCUGGGACCCGAAAGAUGGUGAACUAUGCCUGAAUAGGGCGAAGCCAGA
This 733-nucleotide ribosomal RNA is filed under the name Phellinus bicuspidatus. Its description in RNAcentral is "LSU rRNA". It matches the Rfam family "Eukaryotic large subunit ribosomal RNA", at positions 143 to 856 of the family's 3401-position model. Lineage: Eukaryota; Fungi; Basidiomycota; Agaricomycetes; Hymenochaetales; Hymenochaetaceae. The record is from RNAcentral.